Molecule: ribosomal RNA, 372 nt
Filed under: uncultured eukaryote
Lineage: Eukaryota
Description: partial 18S ribosomal RNA
Rfam family: Eukaryotic small subunit ribosomal RNA
Source: RNAcentral
CAAUAGCGUAUAUUAAAGUUGUUGCAGUUAAAAAGCUCGUAGUUGGAUUUCUGGGAGGGUGCCGCCGUCCGGCGUGUCCGUGUGCAGUGGCGCCCUUCCAUCCUUCUGUUAGCGUCUCUUGGCAUUCAUUUGCUGGUGGCGGGCUCAGAUAUUUUACCUUGAGAAAAUUAGAGUGUUUCAGGCAGGCUAGGCCGGAAUACAUUAGCAUGGAAUAAUGGAAUAGGACUACGGUCUCUUUGUUGGUUUGAGGGACUGCAGUAAUGAUUAAUAGGGAUAGUUGGGGGCACCUGUAUUGCGUUGUCAGAGGUGAAAUUCUUGGAUUUACGCAAGACAAACAGCUGCGAAAGCGUCUGCCAAGGAUGUUUUCAUUAA